UGGGGAAUAUUGCACAAUGGGCGCAAGCCUGAUGCAGCAACGCCGCGUGAGGGACGACGGCCUUCGGGUUGUAAACCUCUUUUGGCAGGGAAGAAGCGAAAGUGACGGUACCUGCAGAAAAAGCACCGGCUAACUACGUGCCAGCAGCCGCGGUGAUACGUAGGGUGCAAGCGUUGUCCGGGAUUAUUGGGCGUAAAGAGCUCGUAGGCGGUUUGUCGCGUCUGCUGUGAAAACCCGAGGCUCAACCUCGGGCCUGCAGUGGGUACGGGCAAACUAGAGUGCGGUAGGGGAGAUUGGAAUUCCUGGUGUAGCGGUGGAAUGCGCAGAUAUCAGGAGGAACACCGAUGGCGAAGGCAGAUCUCUGGGCCGUAACUGACACUGAGGAGCGAAAGCAUGGGGAGCGAACA
RNAcentral lists this ribosomal RNA (407 nucleotides) under uncultured bacterium. RNAcentral describes it as "bacterial SSU rRNA". It matches the Rfam family "Bacterial small subunit ribosomal RNA", at positions 355 to 774 of the family's 1533-position model. The record is from RNAcentral.